UAAUACGGAGGGUGCAAGCGUUGUCCGGAUUUACUGGGUGUAAAGGGCGUGUAGGCGGGAAGAUAUGUCGGGAGUGAAAUCGUACGGCUUAACCGUAGCAAUUGCUUCCGAAACUGUUUUUCUUGAAUGCAGCAGAGGCAGAUGGAAUUCCAGGUGUAGCGGUGGAAUGCGUAGAUAUCUGGAAGAACACCAGUUGCGAAGGCGGUCUGCUGGGCUGUGAUUGACGCUGAGGCGCGAAAGUGUGGGGAGCAAACAGGAUUAGAUACCCUGGUAGUCCACACCAUAAACGAUGGUCACUAGUUGUCGGGGGAUUCGACCCCUUCGGCAACGACGCUAACGCAUUAAGUGACCCACCUGGGGAGUACGCUCGCAAGGGUG
Molecule: ribosomal RNA, 378 nt
Filed under: uncultured bacterium
Lineage: Bacteria
Description: bacterial SSU rRNA
Rfam family: Bacterial small subunit ribosomal RNA
Source: RNAcentral